RNAcentral lists this ribosomal RNA (497 nucleotides) under uncultured Acidobacteriaceae bacterium. RNAcentral's name for it is "bacterial SSU rRNA". It matches the Rfam family "Bacterial small subunit ribosomal RNA", at positions 8 to 484 of the family's 1533-position model. The record is from RNAcentral. Lineage: Bacteria; Pseudomonadati; Acidobacteriota; Terriglobia; Terriglobales; Acidobacteriaceae.
AGAGUUUGAUCAUGGCUCAGAAUCAACGCUGGCGGCGUGCCUAACACAUGCAAGUCGAACGCGAAAGCUCCGCAAGGGGCAAGUAGAGUGGCAAACGGGUGAGUAACACGUGGGUGACCUGCCUUCGAGCGGGGGAUAACGUCCCGAAAGGGACGCUAAUACCGCAUAACAUCCUGCCUUUGAAGAGGCGGAGAUCAAAGCCGGGGAUCGCAAGACCUGGCACUCGGAGAGGGGCCCGCGUCUGAUUAGCUAGUUGGUGGGGUAAUGGCCUACCAAGGCAACGAUCAGUAUCCGGCCUGAGAGGGCGGACGGACACACUGGGACUGAGACACGGCCCAGGCUCCUACGGGAGGCAGCAGUGGGGAAUUGUUCGCAAUGGGCGCAAGCCUGACGACGCAACGCCGCGUGGAGGAUGAAGAUCUUCGGGUCGUAAACUCCUGUCGAAUGGGACGAAUAGGUUGCGGGUGAACAGCCCGCGACAUUGACGGUACCGUAAA